Molecule: ribosomal RNA, 484 nt
Filed under: uncultured bacterium
Lineage: Bacteria
Description: partial 16S ribosomal RNA
Rfam family: Bacterial small subunit ribosomal RNA
Source: RNAcentral
AUUGAACGCUGGCGGCAGGCCUAACACAUGCAAGUCGAGCGGAUGAAGGGAGCUUGCUCCUGGAUUCAGCGGCGGACGGGUGAGUAAUGCCUAGGAAUCUGCCUGGUAGUGUUGGAUAACGUCCGGAAACGGGCGCUAAUACCGCAUACGUCCUGAGGGAGAAAGUGGGGGAUCUUCGGACCUCACGCUAUCAGAUGAUCCUAGGUCGGAUUAGCUAGUUGGUGGGGUAAAGGCCUACCAAGGCGACGAUCCGUAGCUGGUCUGAGAGGAUGAUCAGUCACACUGGAACUGAGACACGGUCCAGACUCCUACGGGAGGCAGCAGUGGGGAAUAUUGGACAAUGGGCGAAAGCCUGAUCCAGCCAUGCCGCGUGUGUGAAGAAGGUCUUCGGAUUGUAAAGCACUUUAAGUGGGGAAGAAGAGCAGUAAGUUAAUACCUUGCUGUUUUGACGGUACCAAAAGAAUAAGCACCGGCUAACUUCGUG